GGGGAUAUAGCUCAGUUGGGAGAGCGUCGCACUUGCACUGCGAAGGUCAGCGGUUCGACUCCGCUUAUCUCCA
Transfer RNA from Ilyobacter polytropus DSM 2926, 73 nucleotides. It matches the Rfam family "tRNA". From Rfam's summary of the family: Transfer RNA (tRNA) molecules are approximately 80 nucleotides in length. The record is from Rfam. Lineage: Bacteria; Fusobacteriati; Fusobacteriota; Fusobacteriia; Fusobacteriales; Fusobacteriaceae.